This is a long non-coding RNA of Telopea speciosissima, 225 nucleotides long. RefSeq lists it as uncharacterized. The record is from RefSeq and is a predicted model, not a curated record. The transcript has 3 exons. NCBI's taxonomy places the organism in Eukaryota, Viridiplantae, Streptophyta, Magnoliopsida, Proteales, Proteaceae.
AUUUUUUGUUGGGAAGAGGAACUCACUUGAGCCUGUAGGAAGUUGAUCCCUUCACAUCCCCCUUCUUAUCUUCUCUUCUUCUUUUCUUCUUUUCUUCUCCUCUCUCUCUCUCUCUCCAAAUUACUGUUCAUGGGUAUCACUCCAAUCCUUCUUUCUCAGUUUCUCUUCUAAUUCAGAUUCAGAUUUGCAGGUCAAGUAGCACUAUAUAGCAAAUCAGCAGGUCAA